AGCAGCCGCCGCGGUAAUACGAAGGGGGCUAGCGUUGCUCGGAAUUACUGGGCGUAAAGGGAGCGUAGGCGGACUUUUAAGUCAGGGGUGAAAUCCCGGGGCUCAACCUCGGAAUUGCCUUUGAUACUGGGUGUCUUGAGUAUGAGAGAGGUAUGUGGAACUCCGAGUGUAGAGGUGAAAUUCGUAGAUAUUCGGAAGAACACCAGUGGCGAAGGCGACAUACUGGCUCAUUACUGACGCUGAGGCUCGAAAGCGUGGGGAGCAAACAGGAUUAGAUACCCCCGUAGUCCCUGUCUCUUAUAC
This 303-nucleotide ribosomal RNA is filed under the name uncultured bacterium. RNAcentral's name for it is "partial 16S ribosomal RNA". It matches the Rfam family "Bacterial small subunit ribosomal RNA", at positions 507 to 807 of the family's 1533-position model. The record is from RNAcentral.